This 1325-nucleotide ribosomal RNA is filed under the name metagenome. Its description in RNAcentral is "bacterial LSU rRNA". It matches the Rfam family "Bacterial large subunit ribosomal RNA", at positions 1580 to 2925 of the family's 2925-position model. The record is from RNAcentral.
UUGUAGCGAAGCAUGCGAAUCCCCGCUGGCGAGAAAAGAUGCUGGCAAUGAUAUGGGCGCCCGUACCGCAAACCGACGCAGGUGGGCGAGGAGAGAAUCCUAAGACGAACGAGAGAACUCUUGUUAAGGAACUCGGCAAAAUGACCACGUAACUUCGGGAGAAGUGGUGCCUCGAAAGAGGCCGCAGAGAAUAGGCCCAAGCGACUGUUUAGCAAAAACACAGGUGUUUGCGAAAGCGAGAGCUGAAGUAUAAGCGCUGACGCCUGCCCGGUGCUGGAAGGUUAAGAGGAGUUGUCAGGCAACGAAGCAGCGAAUCGAAGCCCCAGUAAACGGCGGCCGUAACGAUAACGGUCCUAAGGUAGCGAAAUUCCUUGUCGGGUAAGUUCCGACCCGCACGAAUGGCGUAACGACUUGGGUACUGUCUCAACAAGAGACUCGGUGAAAUUGAAGUAUGUGUGAAGAUGCACAUUACCCGCGACUGGACGGAAAGACCCCGUAGAGCUUUACUGUAGCUUAGCAUUGGAUUUCGAUAAUGGAUGUACAGGAUAGGUGGGAGACUGGGAGACUGUGGCGUCAGCUGCAGAGGAGUCGGUGUUGGGAUACCACUCUUCUGUUAUUGAAAUUCUAACAAGCAGCCGUGAACCGGCGCUUGGACCGUGCUAGGUAGGCAGUUUGACUGGGGCGGUCGCCUCCCAAAGAGUAACGGAGGCGCCCAAAGGUUCCCUCAGAAUGGAUGGAAACCAUUCGAAAAGUGCAAAGGCAGAAGGGAGCCUGACUGCGAGACGGACAGGUCGAGCAGAGAGGAAACUCGGGCUUAGUGAUCCGGCGGUAUUGAGUGGAAAAGCCGUCGCUCAACGGAUAAAAGCUACCUCGGGGAUAACAGGCUGAUCUCCCCCAAGAGUCCACAUCGACGGGGAGGUUUGGCACCUCGAUGUCGGCUCGUCGCAUCCUGGGGCUGAAGCAGGUCCCAAGGGUUUGGCUGUUCGCCAAUUAAAGCGGCACACGAGCUGGGUUCAGAACGUCGUGAGACAGUUCGGUCCCUAUCCAUCGUGGGCGAAGGAAUCAUGAAAGGAGCUGUCCCUAGUACGAGAGGACCGGGAUGGACGCAUCACUGGUGAAACUGUUGUCGUGCCAACGGCAUAGCAGGGAAGCGAAAUGCGGACGGGAUAAACGCUGAAGGCAUCUAAGCGUGAAGCCCACCUUAAGAUAAAGAUUCCCACAGCGUAAGCUGGUAAGACCCCUUGAAGACGACAAGGUUGAUAGGUCAGCGCUGGAAGCGCGGUAACGCGUGGAGGUUGCUGAUACUAAUAGGUCGAGGGCUUGAU